GAGACAUCUCCUAUGGUGGCUGCCUCCUGGCUGAAUUGAGGAUCAGCGACAGAGCAGCACAGCAGGAGCAAACAGCUUGUGGGCGCACCCAUGGCACACUUGGAUACCUGGUGGGAUCAGAAAGAAUACAUUAUCAUACAUUGAAGUUACAGUGAAUCCAGUCAGGAUGCCACCAGGGAGCCUCUAUCCCUUUAGGAUAGACAUAAACAAAUGGGAGAAAGCCUCAGCUGGACCCAGAAGUCUGGGUGAGCUGGAGGGACUUUAUCUCCCAGCUGGUCUGGGAGUACCUUCCUAGGCCCUGCAUCUGGAGGAAGCUGCAGCAGAAAAGGACAUCUGGGAUGUUCUGCUUACCCAGCUGUGACUGUGAAUCUAAACCUGGGAACACAAAGACAGAUGGAUGGAAGGAAAACAAAGUAAUAGAAGCUUUUUUUCAUAGUUUCAGAACAAACCUUUAUUGAAAUAACUUUUUUUUAAAGCCAAUAAGCUUUAGAUUAUUUUGGCCU
This is a long non-coding RNA of Thunnus maccoyii (southern bluefin tuna), 503 nucleotides long. RefSeq lists it as uncharacterized. The transcript has 3 exons. The record is from RefSeq and is a predicted model, not a curated record. Lineage: Eukaryota; Metazoa; Chordata; Actinopteri; Scombriformes; Scombridae.